GGAGGAAUACCCAAGUCCGGCUGAAGGGAUCGGUCUUGAAAACCGACAGAGGCUUAACGGCUCGCGGGGGUUCGAAUCCCUCUUCCUCCGCCA
RNAcentral lists this transfer RNA (93 nucleotides) under Staphylococcus aureus. Its description in RNAcentral is "tRNA-Ser". It matches the Rfam family "tRNA". Rfam says of the family: Transfer RNA (tRNA) molecules are approximately 80 nucleotides in length. Lineage: Bacteria; Bacillati; Bacillota; Bacilli; Caryophanales; Staphylococcaceae. The record is from RNAcentral.